GCGUCAAUGGUCUAAUGGUUAUGAUGCGACCUUCCCAUGAAUUAGUAAGAAGAUCGCGACCAGGGUUCGAUUCCCUGUUGACGCA
This is a transfer RNA of Moniliophthora roreri MCA 2997, 85 nucleotides long. It matches the Rfam family "tRNA". From Rfam's summary of the family: Transfer RNA (tRNA) molecules are approximately 80 nucleotides in length. Their secondary structure includes four short double-helical elements and three loops (D, anti-codon, and T loops). Lineage: Eukaryota; Fungi; Basidiomycota; Agaricomycetes; Agaricales; Marasmiaceae. The record is from Rfam.